Non-coding RNA from Paramarasmius palmivorus, 97 nucleotides. The record is from the annotation of a GenBank genome assembly. Lineage: Eukaryota; Fungi; Basidiomycota; Agaricomycetes; Agaricales; Marasmiaceae.
GCAUUGAUGGGGUAGUGGUAACCUGGGUCGUUGCCAUGAAGUUGGUCGUGGUUAGUGACUCCUCGACCCGCCGGGGGUUCGAUUCCCUCUCAAUGCA